CAAUGGCGUAUAUUAAAGUUGUUGCAGUUAAAAAGCUCGUAGUUGGAUUUCUGGCAGGAGCGACCGGUCGGCCCAAGUGGUGUGUACUAGUGUUGCAUCUGGCCAUAUUUGCGGAGAGCGUGUGUGGCAUUAAUUUGUCGUGCACGGGACCCGCAUCGUUUACUGUGAGAAAAUUAGAGUGUUCAAAGCAGGCUUAUGCCUUGGAUAUGUUAGCAUGGAAUAAUAAGAUAAGACUUUGGCGGUCUAUUUUGUUGGUUUGCACGCCAUUGUAAUGAUUGAUAGGGACAGUUGGGGGUAUUCAUAUUUAACUGUCAGAGGUGAAAUUCUUGGAUUUGUUUAAAGACGGACUACUGCGAAAGCAUUUGCCAAGGAUGUUUUCAUUGAUCAAGAACGAAAGUUAGGGAUCGAAGACGAUCAGAUACCAU
Molecule: ribosomal RNA, 425 nt
Filed under: uncultured eukaryote
Lineage: Eukaryota
Description: bacterial SSU rRNA
Rfam family: Eukaryotic small subunit ribosomal RNA
Source: RNAcentral